GGUUCUGCCGUAGACAGAGUAAACUAUAGACUGCGUGAUAAUUCCUUUUCGUUCCCACUAAACAGAAAUACAAAUAGGGACAACGUAUUAGGAAAAAAGAGAUAGAGCAUAACUAUUUGCAUCUCUCAUUGCGUGCCGGUUUUCUCAAGGCCAGCACAAACAUUUUGCUAAACAAGUUUGACCUUCGAGACAUUGUGCUGUAAAAUUUUCAAUUAUUUAGCUAAGUUUAAAUAUAAACAGACUUGAUUUUGUUCAAUUAAAGAAGAUAAAGGCAAAUUCUAAUUGUUUACAAUGGUUCGGUGUAGUGUUCUUGGCUGUAAAAGCGAUAGUGAACGGAAAAUUGCAGGAUUGUCUUUUCAUUCUUUUCCGAUUAAGCAGAAUUUGCGUGAAGUUUGGGUAGCUGCCACAGGACGAAAUUGUUGGUGAAAGCAGUCGCCGUGCAUUACUUUGAAGUACGCAUACAUCAUACUACAAAACAGUUUUUUUCACCCAGCGAUAGAAUUUGCAACAUACACAAUAAGCUUGUACUGUUUAGAGGGCAAUAAAUUCACUAUUCACUAA
Molecule: long non-coding RNA, 561 nt
Organism: Melitaea cinxia (Glanville fritillary)
Lineage: Eukaryota; Metazoa; Arthropoda; Insecta; Lepidoptera; Nymphalidae
Exons: 2
Source: RefSeq, a predicted model, not a curated record